RNAcentral lists this ribosomal RNA (425 nucleotides) under uncultured bacterium. RNAcentral describes it as "partial 16S ribosomal RNA". It matches the Rfam family "Bacterial small subunit ribosomal RNA", at positions 354 to 796 of the family's 1533-position model. The record is from RNAcentral.
GUGGGGAAUCUUGCGCAAUGGGCGAAAGCCUGACGCAGCCAUGCCGCGUGAAUGAUGAAGGUCUUAGGAUUGUAAAAUUCUUUCACCGGGGACGAUAAUGACGGUACCCGGAGAAGAAGCCCCGGCUAACUUCGUGCCAGCAGCCGCGGUAAUACGAAGGGGGCUAGCGUUGCUCGGAAUUACUGGGCGUAAAGGGCGCGUAGGCGGACAGUUUAGUCAGAGGUGAAAGCCCAGGGCUCAACCUUGGAAUUGCCUUUGAUACUGGCUGUCUUGAGUACGGGAGAGGUGAGUGGAACUCCGAGUGUAGAGGUGAAAUUCGUAGAUAUUAGGAAGAACACCAGUGGCGAAGGCGACUCACUGGCCCGUUACUGACGCUGAGGCGCGAAAGCGUGGGGAGCAAACAGGAUUAGAAACCCGAGUAGUCC